Esox lucius (northern pike) is the source of this 564-nucleotide long non-coding RNA. The record is from Ensembl. Lineage: Eukaryota; Metazoa; Chordata; Actinopteri; Esociformes; Esocidae.
AUUUGUAUCAUUGCAGCAUGUAUAGUUCUAACACAAUUUGAAUCUAACGAGAAGAACGAUGACAUGUAACCAAUGACAAAGUUAAGAGGCGUGACUUGAUGGAGGCGCCCCGGCUGCGAUGUGAAGACAGUAAUAAAACCCCGUAGCAUCCACAAAAGUCAGCUGCUGUUUCAAGCGUGGAGUAUAUCGUUUCUGUUGUUGAGCUGAAUUAAACACCGACCGUGUUUGGUAAACAAAUUUUUGGACCUCCAAAUCUUGUUCAAGUAACCAGCAUCUGCGUCAGUUGGACUGGGCGGUCAGACUGUUAUCUUACACAACCUGAGCAGAUACUUUGUAUUGAGGACAGCCGGGUGAUGAUACAAAGUACAUUAGCACAAUGGGAUCAGUUACGGACACCCUUCCUUGUGGCUGCACAGCGUGAGGGGAUUUUUGUUUUGUUUUCUUUCAGGCUUGAAAGCUGAAGGUAAUACAGCCAACUCUUCAAAACUGCGCUGUAUGUGAAUGUAUGUUUGAGUUAGAAUAUUUAAAUCUGAAAAGUGGAUUGUUAUUUACAUGUUAAACCAG